RNAcentral lists this ribosomal RNA (592 nucleotides) under Curvularia geniculata. RNAcentral describes it as "eukaryotic LSU rRNA". The stretch from base 222 to 375 matches the Rfam family "5.8S ribosomal RNA". The record is from RNAcentral. Lineage: Eukaryota; Fungi; Ascomycota; Dothideomycetes; Pleosporales; Pleosporaceae.
UCGUAACAAGGUCUCCGUAGGUGAACCUGCGGAGGGAUCAUUACACAAUAAACAUAUGAAGGCUGCACCGCCAACAGGCGGCAAGGCUGGAGUAUUUUAUUACCCUUGUCUUUUGCGCACUUGUUGUUUCCUGGGCGGGUUCGCCCGCCUCCAGGACCACAUGAUAAACCUUUUUUAUGCAGUUGCAAUCAGCGUCAGUACAACAAAUGUAAAUCAUUUACAACUUUCAACAACGGAUCUCUUGGUUCUGGCAUCGAUGAAGAACGCAGCGAAAUGCGAUACGUAGUGUGAAUUGCAGAAUUCAGUGAAUCAUCGAAUCUUUGAACGCACAUUGCGCCCUUUGGUAUUCCAAAGGGCAUGCCUGUUCGAGCGUCAUUUGUACCCUCAAGCUUUGCUUGGUGUUGGGCGUUUUUUGUCUUUGGUUUUGUCCAAAGACUCGCCUUAAAACGAUUGGCAGCCGGCCUACUGGUUUCGCAGCGCAGCACAUUUUUGCGCUUGCAAUCAGCAAAAGAGGACGGCACUCCAUCAAGACUCUAUAUCACUUUUGACCUCGGAUCAGGUAGGGAUACCCGCUGAACUUAAGCAUAUCAAU